CAGACCGAUGAAGAUUUGAAAGAUGUAAUUAAAUAAAUAAAAAAUUACUUUAAAAUGAAGGUAACUUGUGAGUGACGUUUUGUUGUUCUUUCACAGGGAGUACCUGAACUAUCAGAACAUGGUGAUGUUUAUGAGCUUGGUUUCGGUUUAGGACACGAACAUCCUCCGACCAGUGCCCUUAUCAAACCGGAGUACCGUCGAAAGCUCCUUUACCACAUGAGUCCUCAACAGGUAUUUUCUAUUUUAUUUUAUUUUAUUUCUCUAGGUUUCAAAUCAGAUAUUUUUUUCUCACAAUCCAAAUCUGUUGUCCUUAUGCUCGCCGUUUUUGUUUAUGAAUGUUGUCAAGGAAUGUGCGUUGGCUGCGUUACUAAUGAGACCAGGUCCGGUUCUGGCGCUAACGACAGCAAAGGUUGAAGAAAAAGGACAAGAAGUGGAGGAGCACGUGCCGCGCGUGUUCAUCAAGACGUUGCACGACCGGGUGAUGAAACCGGAGCAGCAGGAGGCGAUGAUGAAAAAGUGGCCACCGAGAGAAGCGUACGAAGUGGACAGUGACCAUUCACCUUUCUUCUCUAACCCUUUUGUGCUCUUUGGUUUACUCAUCAAAGCUGCCGUUUCUGUUGGUUCCAAUACUGAUAUUUAGUAGACAUGUUACUCGAGUUAACUCUAAUCAAACAGAAAAUGCCCAAUCGUUGCUUUCUCUAUAUUCUCUCUCUGCCUUUGAGGUUGCCCUAAAUAUACAACCUGAUGAUGGUUUAGCGGUGAGAAAUUAGUGGUAGUCUUAUUUUGUUGAAACUAUAUUAUAGAUUGAAUUUUUGAUAUACACUCAUUCAAAUGUCUACCACAGAGAAAAAGAAGGUUUAUAAUGAAAAUGAAUCUGAUUCCCUCGUCCACAAAGACUCUGACAAUUGGCAAAGGCUUUCUUUCUUUUUGCACAUGUCUCCGCUCAGGCCAUUUCAUAUGUCACCUCUCACACUUAUUGGAUUGUCCCCCGCUCCUCUAAAUAUCAAAAGCAUCUGAUGCAGUUGAAUGCACGUAAGACUAUUCAAGAAAACAUCUAAAUUCACUAUUAUGUUGAAAAAAUGAAUGGCCUAAGCGGAGAUGUUGUAUUUUCUGAUCAAGAAAUUUUAUUUUAUUUUUUGGAUUUUGUAACGAUUUGUUAGGCGGGUUAUCCGGUCGCUGAAGACUACACGUUUCUUGGUUAAAAAAACCUUAAAACUGGUUAGAGGAGAAAGAGUUAGAGAGCCAUGAGUGGGAAAACCUCAUAAUACGGAAUAUUGCAUACUAGAAUAUUACAACUUGAGUUAUGAUCAUAAGUCAUGUCAUUUUCAUUUACACGUUGGCUUGUCUUUAUUGAAAGUAAAAAAUAUGUAAUGUUACAAAAUAAACCGAAAGUUAAGGAGAUAUUGAAGAAAAUAAGGAAAACACGUUACUCUCUGAAAAGGAGGUGAUAUCUUCAUCUUUGUUUGUGACAUUUCUCCUUUUCCCUCUUCUCAAUCAGUGGUUAAUUAUUUGCACCUAUUUGAUUUCCUUUAUUUUGUUCAAAAGUCGUAAUUCUUUUAAUUUAUAAUUUGAUAGUUCUACGUAGAUAUCAUGACAUUUACGUUUUCUAACUUUACUGAUCAUUAAACAUACGUUCAACAAGUCAAAUAGUUUCGAGUUUUUGACGUGUAAGGUAAAACUAGAAGGCCUUCGAAUGACACCCAUUUAUUCUGAUAUUGAUUUUUUGGGCAAACUCAAAUGGUUCAUAACAUUACAUUUUGUCAAGACCGAAGUGUUCCGUGUAAGAUUUAUUCUUUAUUUUUAGCAACGAGCCAUUGUAAUGGUCAAUGAACGUUAUUGUUUUUACGUUACAAAUUUGACCGAGAAAAAACUAGUAAUCCUACAUAAUCAAUUUUAGUCAGAAUACAAAUGAAUCCUAGCACGGGCCAUUAUAAUAUAUGUUUCACACGUGACAUACCUGAAUCUAUGUAACAUUUUAUAAUAGCGAUGACUAUUUGUAUACUCGAAUACAGCUAUCAAAUACUAGAUUUUCUGUUGUGAGUCGAGAUUAAUCAUUAUUUACAUACGUCCUCGAAUUAACCUAAACAUUAAGGUGGAAAUCCCGCUCAAGAUUAAAAGCUGUUUAGUGGAUAUAAACGUGUAACUAGUGCGAAUAAACACACAAAUACAAAUCGUAAGAAUAUAGUCAGCAGACAAUUAUUACUCAUUGACUAUCUCAACUAUACGGAGAUGCAAUAAACCAAGUGCCAUACACCAAAGUCGGAUCCACAAUCAAAUCGACAAACAUAUAUAACUAUGUAUAUAUAGAUGCAAACUAUACCCUUUUUCUUCUUCCUUUAAUUUUCUUAAAAUUGGUGGUGAUUGAUCGCAACAUACGUAAGUAUACAUUUGGAAAAAGAAAUACAUAAAGAAAAAAGCAGAAAUCUUGAAAUGUACAAAAUGCCAGAGUUAACUUGAUGGGAAAAGAUUAUCCAUUUCCAUAAAUCUCUUGAUUUUUUUUUUGUAAUAUUUUUCCAGUAAAUCACUUUUUAAUUGCUUUAUUAAUCUAUUAGAUAUUUUACCAAAUAAACUAAUCAGUUGUUCGAUUAAUUUUGGUAAAAAAAACUGUUUAAUAAGCUAGGUUGCAUGGAAACAGAAACGGAUACGCGGAAACGGUUUCGUUUCGAAACGUGGAAACUUGAUUUUUUUAUUUUUUUUGCUUUAGAAAUGUUUUAGAAACGUCUAUAUAUAUAUAUAUAUAACUGAUUAAUAUUUAUAUUCAUUUUUGUUAUGUUUAGUAUAUCUUUUUUGAAAAUAUAUGUUUAAUAUAUCUUAAAAUACAAAUAAAUAAAUAGCCAUUCUAUUUAAUCAUACAAAAAUAAAAUAAAUCAUCAUUAAACAUCAAAGUUAUAUAAAAAAAUCAAAAUAACAAAAACCCAGUACUUAAAUAUUAAAUAACUUAACUAAAAUAAAAAUCAUAACAACAAGUCAUAACCAAUUGGAAAGUUCUAGCGUUUCCAAAACAGAAACGCGAGUUUCCAAAAUAGAAACGCAAGUUUCCACUAAGUUUCCAAACUGAGAUUUUUAAGAAACGAGUUUCCAAAGCGUUUCCGUGAGUUUCCGAGAGAUUCCGAUUCCGAAACGUUUCCGAAAUGUGAAACGGACCUUCAACCGAGUUUCCAUGCAACGUAGUUAAUAAGACCCAAACAGAAAAAGAAAACAGAAUUGGCUGAGCGAGAAAAUAAGCUGCAGAAGGAAAAUUUCCCUAGAAAUUCUACUUAAGUUGCAUGCAUACUACUAGUUAUCAAAUUUCUAUGAAAAUUAAAGUUUUAUUUUUAUUUCCUUCAACUUAUGUUAUAACUGGAUAAAACUUCUAUGAAAAGUCAACAGAUAUUUUCAUCAUUUCAUAAGAAUAAAAUAAUUACUGAUUAAUGUUGAAACGUUACAGUAAGAAAAAAAAUCACACUAAAAGGAAAUGGGAAGAAGCAAACAUAUAUCUUCCACCACUGUGUAUGCGCUUGACAUAUGUGACAAAGACCCCAAGAAAACACCCAAAGCACCAAGCUGAAAAAAAUCCAUCAAAUCGCCGGCGUAGUUGAUGGCGGAGGAGAAUCAAGAAGAAACCCUACUCUUGAAACCAAGAAGUAAACCACCUCACUUCGUGUUAAUACACGGCAUAAGCUUAGGAUCAUGGUGCUGGUACAAAAUCAAAUGUCUCAUGGAAGUCUCUGGCUUCACCGUCACUUGCAUCGACCUCAAAUCCUCCGGCAUCGAUCCUUCCUCUGCCGAUUCUCUAACUUCCUUCGACCAAUACAACCAACCACUCACCGACUUCCUCUCCUCCUUGCCCGAACAAGAACAGGUCAGACACACACCCGAGAAAACUAAAAAACUAACUUAGUUAAUUCUUGAAGCCUAAGCAAACUCACUCUGUUUUCUCUGUUCUAUGUUUUGUCAUCAGGUGAUACUAGUGGGUCACAGUGCAGGAGGGCUUAGCGUAACUAGCUCGAUACAUAAAUUCCCUAAGAAAAUCUCUCUAGCUGUUUAUAUUGCAGCUACAAUGCUCAAAUUCGGGUUUCAGACCGAUGAAGAUUUGAAAGAUGUAAUUAAAUAAAUAAAAAAUUACUUUAAAAUGAAGGUAACUUGUGAGUGACAUUUUGCUGUUCUGUCACAGGGAGUGCCUGAACUAUCAGAACAUGGUGAUGUCUAUGAGCUUGGUUUCGGUUUAGGACCCGAGCAUCCUCCGACCAGUGCCCUUAUCAAACCGGAGUACCGUCGAAAGCUCCUUUACCACAUGAGUCCUC
This 4283-nucleotide long non-coding RNA is filed under the name Brassica napus (rape). RNAcentral's name for it is "long non-coding RNA (BNAP_LNC017973)". The record is from RNAcentral. Lineage: Eukaryota; Viridiplantae; Streptophyta; Magnoliopsida; Brassicales; Brassicaceae.